CCGUCAUAUCACGUUGAAGCACUGGUUCUCAUAUGAUCACUGAAGUUAAGCAACGUUGAAUCUGAUCAGUACUAGUUGAGUGACCGCUUGGGAAUGCCAGGUGCUGUAAG
Non-coding RNA from Acanthosepion pharaonis, 110 nucleotides. The record is from the annotation of a GenBank genome assembly. NCBI's taxonomy places the organism in Eukaryota, Metazoa, Mollusca, Cephalopoda, Sepiida, Sepiidae.